RNAcentral lists this ribosomal RNA (253 nucleotides) under uncultured bacterium. RNAcentral describes it as "partial 16S ribosomal RNA". It matches the Rfam family "Bacterial small subunit ribosomal RNA", at positions 524 to 776 of the family's 1533-position model. The record is from RNAcentral.
GACGAAGGGGGCUAGCGUUGUUCGGAAUUACUGGGCGUAAAGGGCGCGUAGGUGGCCUUCUAAGUUGAACGUGAAAUCCCUGGGCUCAACCCAGGAACUGCGUCCAAGACUGGGAGGCUUGAAUCCGGGAGAGGGAUGCGGAAUUCCAGGUGUAGCGGUGAAAUGCGUAGAUAUCUGGAGGAACACCGGUGGCGAAGGCGGCAUCCUGGACCGGUAUUGACACUGAGGCGCGAAAGCCAGGGGAGCAAACGGG